RNAcentral lists this ribosomal RNA (371 nucleotides) under uncultured organism. RNAcentral's name for it is "bacterial SSU rRNA". It matches the Rfam family "Bacterial small subunit ribosomal RNA", at positions 526 to 896 of the family's 1533-position model. The record is from RNAcentral.
CGUAGGGUGCGAGCGUUAAUCGGAAUUACUGGGCGUAAAGCGUGCGCAGGCGGUUUGUUAAGAUAGGCGUGAAAUCCCCGGGCUCAACCUGGGAACUGCGCUUAUGACUGGCAAGCUAGAGUACGGCAGAGGGGGUGGAAUUCCACGUGUAGCAGUGAAAUGCGUAGAGAUGUGGAGGAACACCAAUGGCGAAGGCAGCCCCCUGGGUCGAUACUGACGCUCAUGCACGAAAGCGUGGGUAGCAAACAGGAUUAGAUACCCUGGUAGUCCACGCCCUAAACGAUGUCAACUAGGUGUUGGGAGGGUAAAAUCUUUUAGUACCGGAGCUAACGCGUGAAGUUGACCGCCUGGGGAGUACGGCCGCAAGGUUA